Molecule: ribosomal RNA, 250 nt
Filed under: uncultured bacterium
Lineage: Bacteria
Description: partial 16S ribosomal RNA
Rfam family: Bacterial small subunit ribosomal RNA
Source: RNAcentral
GUGCCAGCCGCCGCGGUAAUACGGAGGGAGCUAGCGUUGUUCGGAAUUACUGGGCGUAAAGCGCGCGUAGGCGGUUACUCAAGUCAGAGGUGAAAGCCCGGGGCUCAACCCCGGAACUGCCUUUGAAACUAGGUAACUAGAAUCUUGGAGAGGUCAGUGGAAUUCCGAGUGUAGAGGUGAAAUUCGUAGAUAUUCGGAAGAACACCAGUGGCGAAGGCGACUGACUGGACAAGUAUUGACGCUGAGGUGC